Molecule: ribosomal RNA, 484 nt
Filed under: uncultured bacterium
Lineage: Bacteria
Description: partial 16S ribosomal RNA
Rfam family: Bacterial small subunit ribosomal RNA
Source: RNAcentral
AUUGAACGCUGGCGGCAGGCCUAACACAUGCAAGUCGUGCGGAUGAAGGGAGCUUGCUCCUGGAUUCAGCGGCGGACGGGUGAGUAAUGCCUAGGAAUCUGCCUGGUAGUGGGGGAUAACGUCCGGAAACGGGCGCUAAUACCGCAUACGUCCUGAGGGAGAAAGUGGGGGAUCUUCGGACCUCACGCUAUCAGAUGAGCCUAGGUCGGAUUAGCUAGUUGGUGGGGUAAAGGCCUACCAAGGCGACGAUCCGUAACUGGUCUGAGAGGAUGAUCAGUCACACUGGAACUGGGACACAGUCCAGACUCCUACGGGAGGCAGCAGUGGGGAAUAUUGGACAAUGGGCGAAAGCCUGAUCCAGCCAUGCCGCGUGUGUGAAGAAGGUCUUCGGAUUGUAAAGCACUUUAAGUUGGGAGGAAGGGCAGUAAGUUAAUACCUUGCUGUUUUGACGUUACCAACAGAAUAAGCACCGGCUAACUUCGUG